AUGGCUUUCCACCUAAUAUCGAUAAGUUUGCCUUCUAGGCCUCACCCCACCGAGACCGAGAUUGAAGAACAGAUGUUGAGCCUAGAGGCAAGCAUCUGUUCCUCCACGACCAUCGGCAUGAUGUGCGAGGGUCUGAGGAGGCUUGGAGACAUCUAUAAUGGCGUCGAAGAGAUCAUCUGCCUUCCAAGCAGCCAAGUCUGUGCCUACCAGCAGAGGACGGUGUUGGAUGAAGAAAUGGACGGUUCUCUCGAGCUGCUAGAUCUAUGUGGCACCAUGCAAGAGAUCUUCGCCGAGAUGAAGGCCAUCAUCCAAGAGCUGCAACUGUCUCUAAGGAAAGGGGAUGAUGCGGCUGCUCAAGCCAGUAUCCAAUCUUACACCCACUUGGCGAAGAAGGCCAAGAAUCAUUUCAAGAAGACCACGAAGUAG
This 426-nucleotide ribosomal RNA is filed under the name Triticum aestivum (bread wheat). Its description in RNAcentral is "partial small subunit ribosomal RNA". The record is from RNAcentral. Lineage: Eukaryota; Viridiplantae; Streptophyta; Magnoliopsida; Poales; Poaceae.